AAUGUGUUAAUAUAUAGUAGAUAAAAUCUGCAUUGGCUAUUUUAUCAUUAGGAAUAAAUCCUAAAACACUAUCAGG
Molecule: transfer RNA, 76 nt
Filed under: Chlorobium chlorochromatii CaD3
Lineage: Bacteria; Pseudomonadati; Chlorobiota; Chlorobiia; Chlorobiales; Chlorobiaceae
Description: tRNA-Arg
Source: RNAcentral